UGCUUCGGUAAUUGACCUAGCGGCGGACGGGUGAGUAAUACUUAGGAAUCUGCCUAUUAAUGGGGGACAACAUCUCGAAAGGGAUGCUAAUACCGCAUACGCCCUACGGGGGAAAGCAGGGGAUCACUUGUGACCUUGCGUUAAUAGAUGAGCCUAAGUCGGAUUAGCUAGUUGGUGGGGUAAAGGCCUACCAAGGCGACGAUCUGUAGCGGGUCUGAGAGGAUGAUCCGCCACACUGGGACUGAGACACGGCCCAGACUCCUACGGGAGGCAGCAGUGGGGAAUAUUGGACAAUGGGGGGAACCCUGAUCCAGCCAUGCCGCGUGUGUGAAGAAGGCCUUAUGGUUGUAAAGCACUUUAAGCGAGGAGGAGGCUCUCUUGGUUAAUACCCAAGAUGAGUGGACGUUACUCGCAGAAUAAGCACCGGCUAACUCUGUGCCAGCAGCCGCGGUAAUACAGAGGGUGCGAGCGUUAAUCGGAUUUACUGGGCGUAAAGCGUGCGUAGGCGGCUUUUUAAGUCGGAUGUGAAAUCCCCGAGCUUAACUUGGGAAUUGCAUUCGAUACUGGGAAGCUAGAGUAUGGGAGAGGAUGGUAGAAUUCCAGGUGUAGCGGUGAAAUGCGUAGAGAUCUGGAGGAAUACCGAUGGCGAAGGCAGCCAUCUGGCCUAAUACUGACGCUGAGGUACGAAAGCAUGGGGGAGCAAACAGGAUUAGAUACCCUGGUAGUCCAUGCCGUAAACGAUGUCUACUA
Molecule: ribosomal RNA, 750 nt
Filed under: Acinetobacter sp.
Lineage: Bacteria; Pseudomonadati; Pseudomonadota; Gammaproteobacteria; Moraxellales; Moraxellaceae
Description: bacterial SSU rRNA
Rfam family: Bacterial small subunit ribosomal RNA
Source: RNAcentral